This 3702-nucleotide long non-coding RNA is filed under the name Mus musculus (house mouse). RNAcentral's name for it is "long non-coding RNA chr14:99154759-99158461". Lineage: Eukaryota; Metazoa; Chordata; Mammalia; Rodentia; Muridae. The record is from RNAcentral.
GGAGGAGGAGAAAGCAUGCAUGAAUGAGGCCUUUUCUUUUGGCCUAUAGUUUUUAGUGCUGUAUUUCAGGUAAUCAUAGCUCUUCCUGGAAGUUAUGUAAGUUUUCAGACUUUGCUGCGUUAGCAUUCUCUUUCUCCACCUCUUGCUCUCCAUCCCCAAUGCCUGCCUGGAAACACACACAUUCAUGUGUUCCUGUGUUUAUUACUGAGUCAUUUCAAAAUAGGCUGCAUCGAAUGCAUUUAUCUCUUCAGGGUGUAUUUCGUAAGAAAAGAAAUGUUCUUACAGAACUCCAAAAACAUAUUUUAAUACAAGAACAUUUGAUAGCGAUGUGCUUACAACAAUGCAUUAUCCCAAUAAUGUUCUUUCGUAGUACCUUUCAAUGAUCUUUUAAUCACACAUAGAUCAGAAGAUAGCUUCUCGAAUUGUUCCUUUCUUCCUCCAUGAAGGUUCCUUGCAUGAUGCUUAGUGUGCUUACCCGCUGAGUCACUCACUGACCUCAUGUUACUGUGUGUACGGUAUAGGCUGCAGCCCAGGAACUUGUAAUUCUCCCCUCCCUCCUUGGCCUGCUUCAAUCUCAAACCCUUCUUGAUCUUGAUUUUUUACCUAACCCAUUUUGCUUUCAUGGCAUUUGGUUCAUUUUCAUUUAAUGUUACAGGUAUUUCAUUUAAAAUACAGGUAAUUUUUAAUAUUAAAGGUAUUCAAAAGACAUGAAAGAAUUAUAGAUUUCUGUUGGGCUCUUCUACUCACCUUUAAUGCUGUAAGGUACAAUCAGCAAUGGUUAAAACUCAGUGGUACCGUGUUUCCUAGCUGAUUUAGCUGCACAGCAAGCAUUUUAAUCAGAAUGCCUAUCCGAAACUUUGCGUAGGCACUUGAGGAACACAACUGGUAAUUCACAAAUGCUGUUUCCCAUGCUCACCUUCCAUGUCACUGAUUAAGACAAUAAAUCUUUAUUGAUACCUAAUACUGUGACCCAGGUGCUAUGCUACGGUAUUGAAUACUUAUGGGUACAUUAGCAAUAUCACCAUUUCUAAGAGCUAGUUUAAGGACAUAAAAACAGUUAUAUAAUUGUUUGACUAUAAUUGUUAAGUUUGGUAAUUACUCAGAGAUAAAUUGUAUAAUAAGAAAUUAUGGUAGAGGCAAGGAGGUACCAUGAUUGAGUAGUGAAAGAAAGGCCCUUUCUGACACUUGAGCAUAACAGCCAUGCCAAGUAAAUUCUAAUCUUUAAAUAUAUCUAAUUGUGUCCUACCUCUUAAUCCCAAACAGCACUAUGUUAGUUCAGCCUCCAUUUUCCUUUUGCCGAACGAAUUAUAUCUUUGAACUAUGUCUCUGCUUUUAGCUCAGACCUCUCUGGUCUCAUCACUCUACACGGAUAACUAAGAAUUCUAACUGCUAUUGACACCUGUCAUUCACACUGCUUAGCUUUUGCAGCCAUCCAGGGACUCGGAGCCUUCCAGACUCUGUUUUUGUAUGUGCUCCACCUUCCACAGUGCUAUCUAUUCUGCCUGUUAGGUGUUUCCAAGGAAGGACCUUUUCCCUUAUGCCUGUGUCUUGCCAUUUAUCUACUAGGUAAGUAGACAUCCUUUCUUUUAUUAAGACUGAACCCAGUGAGAAUCUAUCAUAUCUUGAACUUCGUUCAGCAAUAUUUAAGAGUCCUAGAGGCAUUUGUUUUGUUUUCAAGACAGGGUUUCUCUCUAUAGUCCUAGCUGUCCCAGAACACUCACUCUAUAGACCAGGCUGACCUCGAACUUAGAGACCUGCCUAACUCUAGGGGCUUUUUAUGUUUAUGUUUCUCUGUGUUUCAGAAGACAUUCCUUUGCCUGUCAUUCAUCGAUGUGAGUGAAGAAGACGUCUGUAGGAAGGGUGAGAAUCUGUUCCUUUCAGUGUUGUCAGAUUCUCCGCUUGCGCUGUGUCCUCCCUCGCACAUGCAGCUUGGGAGCGCUGUACCUUAGGUUUUGAGAGGACUCUGAUUCUCCUCCUCGGUCAUUUGUAUCAGAGCCAGUGCCAGUCCUAGUCUCCAAAGUGUAGAAGGAUGAAUUCUGAAGACCCUUUUAAAAUAUCUUCUUGUUCUUAAUCAUGUGUAUGAAUAUGUAUGUGUCAUUGCCUGUGGAGGCUAGAGAAGUUGUGUCCUUUGGAGUUAGUCACAGGUGACUGUGAGCUCCCUGAUGCAGGUACUAGGAUUCAAACUCAGGUCCUCUGUAAGAGCAGUGCAUGCUCCCAGCACUGAGCCAUCUGUCCAACGUCCACCAUUCACUAAGUCCUAGCAAACUGUUUCUACUUCCUCUUGAAAUAUUAGAUAGGAUGUCCUGGGGACUGUGCUUCAAUCCAAAUACUGUGUCAGAUUAAAGCCGAGUGUGGCACACCUGUGAUCCUAACAGUCAAGACACUGAGCUGGAAAUAGGCCAGCUUGAAUUGCAUAAUUCAAAGCCAACCUAAUGAAAUGCUGCCUUCAAAAAAUAAGCAAAUUUGACACAUGGACAAUAACAUUUUAGAUUACAGCAGUAAAUGUAAGCUUCCAGAGAAGCUUGGUCAGUAAGUAGAUACAUGGGGAAUGCUACUAGUAGUUCAGCAUAUUCAGGCAUCUUGUUUGAUUUUCAGGCAGUCUGUAGUUUAAGUUGAGUGUGCUACAUCUUGUUUUCACUGUGCACAGUACAUAGUAAAGAUAGUUCUUUUUUCCACUUCUCUACAUUAGCAAACUUGUUUUCAAUAAACUAACUACCAUAAAUCUUUCUGUAGUCAGUUUUGAGAUUCACUGUUAGCAUUCCGGGUAACCACCAUGGGAAUAACUGUGAAUAUGUGUGGUAUAUUCAUGUAUGAGCACAUAUGCGUUCAGUUUGCUAUGUGUGUGUGCCCAUGUGGAAACCAAAAGAAGUCUUCAACUCUCUUUUUCACCUAAGUUUGUGAGACAGGUCUCUCGCUGAAUCUGAAGUUGACCAUCUCAGCUAGGCUGGCUAGCAAACCCCCAGGAUGCACCUGUGUAGUCAGCCGCCAAGUGCGAGAGCUCUAUGUGUACCAUCAUGCCUGUCUUUACGUGGUGCUGGGGAGCCAAACUCAGGCUCUUAUACUUGCACAGCAGCCUUGUUAUCCAUUAAGCUAUCAACUUUCCCAGCCUCCUAGAACCUCCUAGGACUCCUAGAAAUUUGCUAAGACAUUUUGUGGCAUUUUUUCAUAUCCAUACUAUAUGGGCCAGGAUAACAAAAUGUCAGAGUUACUACAUCAGAAACUACAGAAACCUUCAGGAUGACAUCAUAAAUUUCAAAGAUUUUCAUCAGACCCCAUUGUCGCCAGUUUCAGGAUGAAAAGGAGGAAUUCUACAGUUUACCCCAGGCUGACCUGAGUCUGGAGGCACUUCUUAGCCUCCAAAAUGCUGGGACAACUGAUGUGUGCCACCAUAUCCUAUAGAAGAAACUCUUUGUACACGAGUGGAGGGCAGAGGCUGCAGUCACAUGUGCACCUCACUUGCUUCUCUACCUUAUUUCUGAGGCAGGGUUGGUCUCUCACCGGAGCUCACUGACUCAGGAGACGAUCUGGCUAGUGAGUUCCAGGGGUGCUCCUCUUUCUAGCUCCCUGGCACUGAAGUUAUAAUAUACCACUCUGCCCCGUUUGACCUGAGAUUGGAAAUACAGCUAAGGGGGAGCUUGAACUCCUGAGCCUUCUGCCUCCACUUCCUGAGUGCUAGAAUUCUAAGUGUAUUCCAUCAUGGUU